UUCGGAACAGAAGAUGACAGGUGUGCUUGGUUGUCGCUCAGCUCGGUGUCGUAGAAGAUGUUGGUGUUAAUGCUCCCGCAACAGAGCCGCAACCCUUAUCCGUCAGUAGCCACGCAGUUCGGAUGGGCACUCUGGUGAGACUGCCGGGGAUAACCCGGAGGAAGGUGGGGAUGACGUCAAAUCAUCAUGCCCCUUAUGACUUGGGCUACACACGUGCUACAAUGGCGUAAACAAAGGGAAGCGAACCUGCGAGGGGGAGCAAAUCCCAAAAAUAACGUCCCAGUUCGGAUUGUAGUCUGCAACCCGACUACAUGAAGCUGGAAUCGCUAGUAAUCGCGGAUCAGAAUGCCGCGGUGAAUACGUUCCCGGGCCUUGUACACACCGAG
This 386-nucleotide ribosomal RNA is filed under the name uncultured bacterium. Its description in RNAcentral is "bacterial SSU rRNA". It matches the Rfam family "Bacterial small subunit ribosomal RNA", at positions 1018 to 1394 of the family's 1533-position model. The record is from RNAcentral.